UACGAAGGGUGCGAGCGUUGUUCGGAUUUACUGGGCGUAAAGGGCGCGCAGGCGGCUCAUUUUGUCAGGCGUGAAAGCCCCGGGCUUAACCUGGGAGGUGCGUUUGAUACGGAUGGGCUAGAGUUCGGGAGAGGAGAGUGGAAUUCCCAGUGUAGAGGUGAAAUUCGUAGAUAUUGGGAAGAACACCGGUGGCGAAGGCGGCUCUCUGGACCGAGACUGACGCUGAGGCGCGAAAGCGUGGGGAGCAAACAGG
This 253-nucleotide ribosomal RNA is filed under the name uncultured bacterium. RNAcentral describes it as "partial 16S ribosomal RNA". It matches the Rfam family "Bacterial small subunit ribosomal RNA", at positions 524 to 776 of the family's 1533-position model. The record is from RNAcentral.